This is an RNA transcript of Erigeron canadensis, 1749 nucleotides long. It is a transcript of the gene named auxin-responsive protein IAA13-like, with no coding region annotated. NCBI's taxonomy places the organism in Eukaryota, Viridiplantae, Streptophyta, Magnoliopsida, Asterales, Asteraceae. The record is from RefSeq and is a predicted model, not a curated record. The transcript has 5 exons.
CUCGGCCCCAUCACCCCAUGUCAUUUUCUCCCAAAACAGAAAUUCUUUUCUCUUCAUAUCUGUAACUGAAAUAAGCCCAUGUUUCAUUUUUGUAUAAAAGCUUUUGAUUAGUAAAAAGUUUCAAAUUCGUUCAGAAGUUUUCUAAACUUUUACUGAAAAGUUUGAAUUUCACUUAAAGUUUCAGCCUUCUUGUUAAAAAGCUUGAAUUUUUAGUAAAAAGUUUCAAUUUUUACUAAAAAGUUUGUAUCUUGGUAAAAAGUUUUGGAAAUUUGUUAAAAAGUUUCAAUUUGUGAUUAAAAAGGUUCAAUCUUUAUCUUUUUUUCUUUGUGUGUGUUUGUGUGUGAAAAUGGAUGAUGGUUUUGAUGGGGUAUCAUCAAAUGGGUCAACAACUGGUGGUGGGUCAAUCUUGACUAGUAAGAAUAACAAUAAAGAUAUGUGUAUGUUGUCUGAAGUUUCUUCACCAUUUCCAUUAGUUGAUGAUAAUGAUGAUGAUGGAAAUCUUGAAUUAGGCCUUGGAUUGAGUAUAGGUGGUGGUGGUAAUGGUUUGAAGUCAAAUGUAUCUGGUUGUGUUGGUCAAUAUGCUAGAAUUUUGACUGCUAAAGAUUUUACCUCUACUAGUGUGGUUGGGUGGCCUCCGAUAAGAAGAGGUCACAGGCUAGCUAAACAAACCAAGUCACCAGACGAAGAAACUAGCUCAACACCCGAACCAAACAAAACUAUCAAAAACGACCUUUAUUCUGAGAGGAAAAAAGGGGUUUUGAACAAAGGUUAUCUAGCAGUGAAGGUGAAUAUGGAUGGAAGGUUAAUCGGAAGGAAAGUUGAUCUCAACGCUCAUAGUUCGUAUGCAACAUUAGCACAAACGUUGGAAGAUAUGUUUUGUCAAGAACGGACACACACAGAAACAGCAACCCCGUCAAAACUGUUGGAUGCAACAUCUGAGUUCGUGCUCACUUAUCAAGAUAAAGACGGAGACUGUAUGCUUGUUGGUGACGUUCCUUGGCAGAUGUUUCUAAGCACUGUGAAGCGGCUUAGGAUCAUGAGAAAUUCCGAAUCUAUAAAGCUUGGUAGUCAUAAACAUAUGGUUGCAACAUCAAUAUGUCUAGAAAAGAAUACAAGACGAAGAAGGAAUGACAUUUGAUAUUAUGUGUACUUCAUUCUACCUUCUGAUUGGAUGAGAACUCAAAAGUUCUUUCUAAUGGGUCAUUGAUCCUUUUGGGUUUUCGGGUAUCCUUUCUAAAUCAACAGUCUGUUACAAACUCAAGAGGACUAUUCUCAUGGUUCAAACCUGUUUACAAAAGGUCAGUUACAGGCGAGGUGCUAAAAACAGGUUUAUCUUUAUCAUUAGUUGCGGGAUUUAAUCCGCCAUUGUUGGUGUUACUGCUACUUUUUCUUCUCGGUCUUGCCUCCUCAAGCAUGCUUAUAACAUCUCUCAUGGAGGGCCUAUCUUUCGGAAGCUUAGCCGUACAAAUUAAGGCUAUUCUGAGGACUAACAACAUCUCUUCUUCUACAUGUUUGCAGUUUCCUACAUUCUGAUCUACUACUUCUGUUAACGGUUUGUUUUCUCUGAUUUUUCGACGAACCCAUUCGACAAUGUCUACUGAAUCUCCAAACUCAGGUUCGAUUGGAUGUUUUCCAGUAACGAGUUCCAUCAGAACCACUCCGUAGCUGUAUAUAUCACUCUUCUCAUCAACCUUUAAUGUGUAUCCGUAUUCUGUAAUCAAGAUAAAUAAUGAGUUGUGUGUUUAAUAA